Long non-coding RNA from Ursus maritimus (polar bear), 2332 nucleotides. The record is from Ensembl. Lineage: Eukaryota; Metazoa; Chordata; Mammalia; Carnivora; Ursidae.
GACUCAAUCCCAAAACCUGGGAUCAUGACCUGAGCCAAAGGCAGAUGUUUAACCGACUGAUUCACCCAGGUGUCCCAAGAGUACCAUAAUCUUAAUAACUAUAGCUCUCUGGGGUCACUUUUAAGAUCCCAGAAUGGAUGGGUAAUACGGCUAAGAGGAAUCAGCAUUCAAAUCAAAGAUUCUGUGGUGAUAAGUAGUUGAACUCAGCUGGCAAUUAAAUAUGGGCACAGAUGUGGUCUGUUUCCAUUUUUUCCCCAGGACCUGGCAACUUACAUGACUGAAACUAGAAGCACAGAUGCCACUGGAACUAACUGGAAUCUUCCCAGGCUCUGGGCCCUGAGUGACAAAACCCAAAUGAGAGACUGUCUACCUAAGGAGGUAAAUGAACUGAAAAUGGUCACAAAGUUUCUCCACCUAGAAGCUGGAAGCUUGUUACGGCUGUUCAUAAAAAAAGAAUUCCACCAGUACUCCUCCAGGAAGGUAAGGUCUAUUUCUCCAGAAGGCUGCAGGAGAAGGAAAGGAGUUAGGAUGCUAAGAGUGCCCGCAGUAAAAUAAAAGUGCCUUGUGGGUGAAGAUACAUGUUGAGAAGACCUUUUCACAUAAGGCACUCGUGCCUCUGGCUAAGUCAAGCCCAUCCUGGAUGUAUUCAUCAGUUUUAGUUUGUAGUUUUUUGCAUGCAAACAUCCCUUACAACUUGCAGCAUCUAUGUAUCUGCCUCAUCCUCCCUACACUAUUAAAACCUAACCCAGAUUUGAAACAAGACUAGGAUACCCAUGGGGCACUUGGGUGGCUCAGUUGUUUAAGUGUCCAACUCUUGAUUUCAGCUCAGGUCAUGAUCUCAGGGUUGUGAGAUCCAGCCCCAUGUCGGGUUUUGCACUGGUCAUGGAGUCUGCUUGAGAAUUUCUCUCUCCCUCUUUCUCUGUCCACUGCUUGCCCCCACUCUUUCUCUCUCUCUCUCAAAAAAAUUUUUUUUAGAAAAGAAACAAGACUAAGAUACCCAACAGAGCAAGUUUAUUCAGUGAAGUCUUGAUAGCCUGAAGGUAGUGAUUUCAGAUUGGACAACAAAACUGAGGAGAACUAUGUGGUCACUGUAAAAGGAGGUGGGGAUAAAAAAGAUCUCUGGUAGUAGGCAAGAACUGAAUGACCUUCAAGGUGUGUAGGAGUGAAAUGAGAUGAUUCACAUCUCUGUACAGACUUAAAUAUGGCCACAUUAUCAUGGAUGGAUUGAAGGUAAGAUAUAAAAAAAAAAAAAACUUGACAUCGGUGAAGGGUGGGAGAGAACAGAAUGUAUUACUGAAUGGGGUGGCUGUGGGGAAGUUUGGAGGAGACACCCUCCCCGCCAUGUGACCCACCAAAAUUGACAUGCAGAGAUGAGGAGGGUGACAGGUCAGUGUGGAAGACUCUUAAGGGGUACUAAGAAAAUUCCCCCUUUCUCCCACUGCAGCAUCUUGGCCUUUCCAGCAUCUCCCCUCCCCUGAAGUUUUGUCAACAUGGUCUUUUGUGAUGUCUAAGCAUCCCAGGGCUACCAUUGGCUGGGGAGCUUUGUAGACCAAACAAAACUGAAGGGUGUGUACCUUCAUUAUCCUGGUGAGCAUAUAUAGGCAGGUCAAGAGGCCUGGGGUAGACCACUGGGAAUUUUUGCGUGGAAAAGUGACCUAUAAACCACAAGCUUCUAGUGGAGUUAUAGAACAACCAACUUCAAGCACCACAGGCAGGAAAAAGAAGACCACUUGUCAACCCUGGUCCAGAGGCAGUGGCAAGGUGAGAUGACUCUACCCAUGCUCUUCCUCAUCCCCUUUGAUUCCUUGCCCUGUAGACUCCUUCCCUGUCCUUGCCUGGCGCACAUAUCCUCCUCAGCCUCUCCCUUCUCCUGAAGCCCCUGCUCCCUUCCACCCUCCAUCUUCUUCCCCCCAAAUCAAUGCCCCUCUGUGCUCACCCUAUUGUCUUCGCAGGUGGCCAAGACAACUAUGAAAGCUAAAAGACAGUUUCAAGGGAGUUUGAGAGAAGAAACCUCUUCCAGAGUUCCCAUUCCAUUAAUUAAGUCUAAGAAAACUAAAGUACCAAUACUAUUCGGCCAUUAUCACAGGCUGAAUGAAAAGCUGAAUCAAAAUGAGCCAGAGCAGGACCAAGAGAGUGUAGAGAAACCCACCACUUCAAAUGAUGACCAGGGCAGUCAGAAUGUAAGAGUCGGGCCAGAGACCUCAGAUACCUGUGAAUUCUCCAAAGUCUAGUCACUAAGAAAUGGCCAACUACUUAGAGCCAAACCAUGCACAAACAGGGUACAUGCAUGGUGAUAAAUAAAACAAAAAACUGUGUGAAAAUUUGCGUGUGU